Non-coding RNA from Candidatus Hamiltonella defensa 5AT (Acyrthosiphon pisum), 77 nucleotides. The record is from Rfam. NCBI's taxonomy places the organism in Bacteria, Pseudomonadati, Pseudomonadota, Gammaproteobacteria, Enterobacterales, Enterobacteriaceae.
UUGAGCGGUAUGCGGGGAAACUUGCACGUACCGUUCUUAGGGGGCGGCGUGACAGAGAUGUCACGUUGCUACCCGAC